GACGAACGCUGACGGCGUGCUUAACACAUGCAAGUCGAAGGGAGCGGCGAACGGGUGAGUAACACGUGGGUAACCUGCCGUUUUCUUUGGGAUAAGCCUGGGAAACUGGGUCUAAAACUGGUAGGAUUGGGAUGGGCUCGUGGCUUGUCGGCUGGUUGGUGGGGUGAUGGCUUACCAAGGCUUCGACGGUUGGCCGGCCUGAGCGGGUGGUCGGUAACACUGGGACGGCGCUGCCGCCCAGUCUACUACGGGGGGGAGAAGUGGGGGCUAUUGCACAAUGGACGAAAGACUGAUGCCGCGUGUGCGUGUGGGGGAUGAAGGCCUUCGAGUUGUAACCGCCUUUCGGCCGCGGAAUGGUAGUGGGUAAAGAAGCGCCGGCUAACUACGUGCCAGCAGCCGCGGUAAUAC
Molecule: ribosomal RNA, 408 nt
Filed under: uncultured bacterium
Lineage: Bacteria
Description: partial 16S ribosomal RNA
Rfam family: Bacterial small subunit ribosomal RNA
Source: RNAcentral